AGAGUUUGAUCCUGGCUCAGAGUGAACGCUGGCGGCGUGGAUUAGGCAUGCAAGUCGAGCGAUCUUUCAUUUUUUUUGAAGUGGUAGCAAUACUGUUUCAAGAGAAAUGUUUGAUAGCGGCAAACUGGUGAGUAACGCGUGAGUAACUUACCUCUAAAUCGGAUAUAGCCUGGCGAAAGUCAGGGUAAUCUCUGAUGUGUCCAAUUUCCCAUAAGGGGUUUUGGGUAAAGUUAGCCCGCAAGGGCUGAUGUUUAGAGAUGGACUCGCGUCCUAUCAGCUAGUUGGUAGGGUAAUGGCCUACCAAGGCAUUUGACGGGUAGCUGGCCUGAGAGGGUGGUCAGCCACACGGGGACUGAGAUACUGCCCCGACUCCUACGGGAGGCUGCAGUCGAGGAUCUUUAGCAAUGGGCGAAAGCCUGACUAUGCGACGCCGCGUGAGGGAUGAAGGUUUUCGGAUCGUAAACCUCUUUCGAUAGGGAAGAAAAAUUUUAUCAUAACAUGGUAAAAACUGACGGUACCUAUAGAAGAAGCCACGGCCAACUCCGUGCCAGCAGCCGCGGUAAUACGGAGGUGGCGAGCGUUACUCGGAUUCAUUGGGUGUAAAGGGCAGGUAGGUGGCUAUGUAAGUUGGGGGUGAAAUCCUUUGGCUCAACCAAAGAACUGCCUUCAAAACUGCAUAGCUUGAGGCUGAAAGAAGAGAGCGGAAUUCCCGGUGUAAGGGUGAAAUCUGUAGAUAUCGGGAGGAACACCAGUGGCGAAAGCGGCUCUCCGGUUCGGUCCUGACACUGAUCUGCGAAAGCUAGGGGAGCAAACAGGAUUAGAUACCCUGGUAGUCC
This 836-nucleotide ribosomal RNA is filed under the name uncultured bacterium. RNAcentral's name for it is "bacterial SSU rRNA". It matches the Rfam family "Bacterial small subunit ribosomal RNA", at positions 8 to 796 of the family's 1533-position model. The record is from RNAcentral.